This 389-nucleotide ribosomal RNA is filed under the name uncultured bacterium. Its description in RNAcentral is "bacterial SSU rRNA". It matches the Rfam family "Bacterial small subunit ribosomal RNA", at positions 28 to 417 of the family's 1533-position model. The record is from RNAcentral.
GACGAACGCUGGCGGCGUGCUUAACACAUGCAAGUCGAGCGGUAAGGCCCUUUCGGGGUACGACGAGCGGCGAACGGGUGAGUAACACGUGGGUGACCUGCCCUCAGCUCUGGGAUAAGCCUGGGAAACCGGGUCUAAUACUGGAUAUGACUCCAUGACGCAUGUUGUGGGGUGGAAAGCCUUGUGCGGCUGAGGAUGGGCCCGCGGCCUAUCAGCUUGUUGGUGGGGUGANCGGCCUACCAAGGCGACGACGGGUAGCCGGCCUGAGAGGGCGACCGGCCACACUGGGACUGAGACACGGCCCAGACUCCUACGGGAGGCAGCAGUGGGGAAUCUUGCGCAAUGGGCGAAAGCCUGACGCAGCGACGCCGCGUGAGGGAUGACGGCCU